RNAcentral lists this transfer RNA (79 nucleotides) under Ixodes scapularis (black-legged tick). RNAcentral's name for it is "tRNA-Ser". The stretch from base 7 to 72 matches the Rfam family "tRNA", at positions 7 to 64 of the family's 71-position model. Rfam says of the family: Transfer RNA (tRNA) molecules are approximately 80 nucleotides in length. Their secondary structure includes four short double-helical elements and three loops (D, anti-codon, and T loops). Lineage: Eukaryota; Metazoa; Arthropoda; Arachnida; Ixodida; Ixodidae. The record is from RNAcentral.
GUUUUGUUAGCUCAGUUGGUAGAGCGCUCCACUGGAAAUGCAGAUGUCCCUGGUUCGAUACGAGCACCAGGAUAUGUCA